AUCUAAUGGACCUGUAACCUGAAAUUCAUUAUGUUGUGCCGUUCUGUAUUCCGGGGAUUCAUUAAGACUAUUCAAAGCAUCCACAUACCUUCUCUCAUUAUCCCUCUCAUCCCCAUCACAGAAAUGCAAUGAUCCAUCUUGAUCAGGGUGAGAAAACAUAAAGAUCCUGAGCCUAGUAAAUCCGUCACCAGAACUCAACUUAGCAGAAAUGCAAGGAUCCAUCUUGAUCAGGGUGAGAAAACAUAAAGAUCCUGAGCCUAGUAAAUCCGUCACCAGAACCCAACUUAUCAUAUUCCUCCAUCAUAUUGACCACAUCAUCAUCAUUCACUACCGAGACAAGAG
RNAcentral lists this long non-coding RNA (342 nucleotides) under Nicotiana benthamiana. RNAcentral describes it as "long non-coding RNA (NBEN_LNC004110)". Lineage: Eukaryota; Viridiplantae; Streptophyta; Magnoliopsida; Solanales; Solanaceae. The record is from RNAcentral.